RNAcentral lists this ribosomal RNA (428 nucleotides) under uncultured bacterium. RNAcentral describes it as "bacterial SSU rRNA". It matches the Rfam family "Bacterial small subunit ribosomal RNA", at positions 355 to 775 of the family's 1533-position model. The record is from RNAcentral.
UGGGGAAUAUUGCACAAUGGGCGCAAGCCUGGUGCAGCCGUGCCGCGUGUAUGAAGAAGGCCUUCGGGUUGUAAAGUACUUUCAGCGGGGAGGAAGGGAGUAAAGUUAAUACCUUUGCUCAUUGACGUUACCCGCAGAAGAAGCACCGGCUAACUCCGUGCCAGCAGCCGCGGUAAUACGGAGGGUGCAAGCGUUAAUCGGAAUUACUGGGCGUAAAGCGCACGCAGGCGGUUUGUUAAGUCAGAUGUGAAAUCCCCGGGCUCAACCUGGGAACUGCAUCUGACACUGGCAAGCUUGAGUCUCGUAGAGGGGGGUAGAAUUCCAGGUGUAGCGGUGAAAUGCGUAGAGAUCUGGAGGAAUACCGGUGGCGAAGGCGGCCCCCUGGACGAAGACUGACGCUCAGGUGCGAAAGCGUGGGGAGCAAACAG